RNAcentral lists this ribosomal RNA (57 nucleotides) under Glyceria alnasteretum. Its description in RNAcentral is "partial 26S ribosomal RNA". It matches the Rfam family "Eukaryotic large subunit ribosomal RNA", at positions 1 to 57 of the family's 3401-position model. The record is from RNAcentral. Lineage: Eukaryota; Viridiplantae; Streptophyta; Magnoliopsida; Poales; Poaceae. RNAcentral also lists the same sequence under 2 other names.
CGACCCCAGGUCAGACGGGACUACCCGCUGAGUUUAAGCAUAUCAAUAAGCGGAGGA